GACGAACGCUGGCGGCGUGCUUAACACAUGCAAGUCGAACGAAAAUACCAAGCUUGCUUGGUUGAUUAGUGGCGAACGGGUGGGUAACACGUGAGUAACCUGCCCCUUACUUUCCUGGAUAACUGCUCGAAAGGGUAGCUAAUACGGGAUAUUCUGACCAGCCUGCAUGGGUUGGUUUGGAAAGGUUGUUUUUCUGGUAAGGGAUGGGCUCGCGGCCUAUCAGCUUGUUGGUGGGGUGAUGGCCUACCAAGGCUUUGACGGGUAGCCGGCCUGAGAGGGUGGACGGUCACACUGGGACUGAGAUACGGCCCAGACGCCUACGGGAGGCAGCAGUGGGGAAUAUUGCACAAUGGGCGCAAGCCUGAUGCAGCGACGCCGCGUGAGGGAGGAAGGCCUUCGGGUUGUAAACCUCUUUCGUCAGGGAACAAGGCACUGCUUUUGUGGUGGUGUUGAGGGUACCUGGAUAAGAAGCGCCGGCUAACUACGUG
This 488-nucleotide ribosomal RNA is filed under the name uncultured bacterium. RNAcentral's name for it is "partial 16S ribosomal RNA". It matches the Rfam family "Bacterial small subunit ribosomal RNA", at positions 28 to 507 of the family's 1533-position model. The record is from RNAcentral.